RNA transcript from Canis lupus familiaris (dog), 467 nucleotides. RefSeq lists it as uncharacterized. NCBI's taxonomy places the organism in Eukaryota, Metazoa, Chordata, Mammalia, Carnivora, Canidae. The transcript has 3 exons. The record is from RefSeq and is a predicted model, not a curated record.
GACUUCCAUCUCCUGCAUUUUGGCCAGAAGGCAAAGGAUUGGGUGAGAUACUAGAAGAUAAGUGUGUCAUUUCCACCGACAUAUCAUUGGCCAGAACUCAGUCAGAUGACUUCACCUUACUGCAGGGAAGUUGGAACUGUGGUCUAGCAGUGGAAAAAGAAUUGGCAUUUGAUGAACGCACUUUGCCACACCCUACUUUCUCAAGCAUGGCCCUGGCAGUCCCUCCACUUCUAGAAUGCUUAUGCUCCACGAGCUCAUCCAAUUAGAGCACCAGGCCUGGUGCUGUGAAGUCACCGCUAUCAGAAUCGGUACCUGGAGGAGAAUAGGCCAGGGUUGACUAGAUGGAACACUGUGGUCCUCUUCCAGAGAAGAAAAGUUACAGCGCUUGAAGAGAGCAUAUAAAGCCAGUGUUAGAAAUACUGAAAUGGAAUCAACAGUGUUCGUGCCUGAGUGUAGAUUUUGUGGUC